GAUGAACGCUGGCGGCGUGCCUAAUACAUGCAAGUCGAGCGAACGGACGAGAAGCUUGCUUCUCUGAUGUUAGCGGCGGACGGGUGAGUAACACGUGGAUAACCUACCUAUAAGACUGGGAUAACUUCGGGAAACCGGAGCUAAUACCGGAUAAUAUUUUGAACCGCAUGGUUCAAAAGUGAAAGACGGUCUUGCUGUCACUUAUAGAUGGAUCCGCGCUGCAUUAGCUAGUUGGUAAGGUAACGGCUUACCAAGGCAACGAUGCAUAGCCGACCUGAGAGGGUGAUCGGCCACACUGGAACUGAGACACGGUCCAGACUCCUACGGGAGGCAGCAGUAGGGAAUCUUCCGCAAUGGGCGAAAGCCUGACGGAGCAACGCCGCGUGAGUGAUGAAGGUCUUCGGAUCGUAAAACUCUGUUAUUAGGGAAGAACAUAUGUGUAAGUAACUGUGCACAUCUUGACGGUACCUAAUCAGAAAGCCACGGCUAACUACGUGCCAGCAGCCGCGGUAAUACGUAGGUGGCAAGCGUUAUCCGGAAUUAUUGGGCGUAAAGCGCGCGUAGGCGGUUUUUUAAGUCUGAUGUGAAAGCCCACGGCUCAACCGUGGAGGGUCAUUGGAAACUGGAAAACUUGAGUGCAGAAGAGGAAAGUGGAAUUCCAUGUGUAGCGGUGAAAUGCGCAGAGAUAUGGAGGAACACCAGUGGCGAAGGCGACUUUCUGGUCUGUAACUGACGCUGAUGUGCGAAAGCGUGGGGAUCAAACAGGAUUAGAUACCCUGGCAGUCCACGCCGUAAACGAUGAGUGCUAAGUGUUAGGGGGUUUCCGCCCCUUAGUGCUGCAGCUAACGCAUUAAGCACUCCGCCUGGGGAGUACGACCGCAAGGUUGAAACUCAAAGGAAUUGACGGGGACCCGCACAAGCGGUGGAGCAUGUGGUUUAAUUCGAAGCAACGCGAAGAACCUUACCAAAUCUUGACAUCCUUUGACAACUCUAGAGAUAGAGCCUUCCCCUUCGGGGGACAAAGUGACAGGUGGUGCAUGGUUGUCGUCAGCUCGUGUCGUGAGAUGUUGGGUUAAGUCCCGCAACGAGCGCAACCCUUAAGCUUAGUUGCCAUCAUUAAGUUGGGCACUCUAAGUUGACUGCCGGUGACAAACCGGAGGAAGGUGGGGAUGACGUCAAAUCAUCAUGCCCCUUAUGAUUUGGGCUACACACGUGCUACAAUGGACAAUACAAAGGGCAGCGAAACCGCGAGGUCAAGCAAAUCCCAUAAAGUUGUUCUCAGUUCGGAUUGUAGUCUGCAACUCGACUACAUGAAGCUGGAAUCGCUAGUAAUCGUAGAUCAGCAUGCUACGGUGAAUACGUUCCCGGGUCU
This 1372-nucleotide ribosomal RNA is filed under the name uncultured bacterium. RNAcentral describes it as "bacterial SSU rRNA". It matches the Rfam family "Bacterial small subunit ribosomal RNA", at positions 28 to 1381 of the family's 1533-position model. The record is from RNAcentral.